RNAcentral lists this ribosomal RNA (253 nucleotides) under uncultured bacterium. RNAcentral's name for it is "partial 16S ribosomal RNA". It matches the Rfam family "Bacterial small subunit ribosomal RNA", at positions 524 to 776 of the family's 1533-position model. The record is from RNAcentral.
UACGAAGGGGGCUAGCGUUGCUCGGAAUCACUGGGCGUAAAGGGUGCGUAGGCGGGUCUUUAAGUCAGGGGUGAAAUCCUGGAGCUCAGCUCCAGAACUGCCUUUGAUACUGAAGAUCUUGAGUUCGGGAGAGGUGAGUGGAACUGCGAGUGUAGAGGAGAAAUUCGUAGAUAUUCGGAGGAACACCAGUGGCGAAGGCGGCUCACUGGUCCGGUACUGACGCUGAGGUGCGAAAGCGUGGGGAGCAAACAGG